GAGUUUGAUCUUGGCUCAGAUUGAACGCUGGCGGCAUGCCUUACACAUGCAAGUCGAACGGCAGCACGGGAGCUUGCUCCUGGUGGCGAGUGGCGAACGGGUGAGUAAUGCAUCGGAACGUAUCCUGGAGUGGGGGAUAACGCAGCGAAAGUUACGCUAAUACCGCAUAUUCUGUGAGCAGGAAAGCGGGGGACCUUCGGGCCUCGCGCUCUUGGAGCGGCCGAUGUCGGAUUAGCUAGUUGGUGAGGUAAAGGCUCACCAAGGCGACGAUCCGUAGCAGGUCUGAGAGGAUGAUCUGCCACACUGGAGCUGAGACACGGUCCAGACUCCUACGGGAGGCAGCAGUGGGGAAUUUUGGACAAUGGGGGCAACCCUGAUCCAGCCAUGCCGCGCGAGUGAAGAAGGCCUCGGUUGUAAG
RNAcentral lists this ribosomal RNA (418 nucleotides) under bacterium enrichment culture clone ALO1_GLFRUDD03FP1YD. RNAcentral describes it as "bacterial SSU rRNA". It matches the Rfam family "Bacterial small subunit ribosomal RNA", at positions 9 to 429 of the family's 1533-position model. The record is from RNAcentral.